This 208-nucleotide microRNA precursor is filed under the name Oryza rufipogon (brownbeard rice). Its description in RNAcentral is "MIR812 microRNA precursor family". It matches the Rfam family "MIR812 microRNA precursor family". Lineage: Eukaryota; Viridiplantae; Streptophyta; Magnoliopsida; Poales; Poaceae. The record is from Rfam by way of RNAcentral.
AAUAAGUGCAGCCAUGGAUAUCCGUGCCCAACGUUUGACCGUCCGUCUUAUUUAAAAAAAUUGUGAAAAAUUUGAAAAUAUUUAGUCACACAUAAAGUAUUUUUCAUGUUUUAUCAUCUAAUAACAAUAAAAAUAUUAAUUAUAAAAAAAUUUCAAAUAAAACGAACGGUUAAACGUUGAACGUAAAUAGUGUAAAAUUGUAUUUAUU